This is a long non-coding RNA of Calidris pugnax (ruff), 1927 nucleotides long. RefSeq lists it as uncharacterized. The transcript is spliced from 2 exons. NCBI's taxonomy places the organism in Eukaryota, Metazoa, Chordata, Aves, Charadriiformes, Scolopacidae. The record is from RefSeq and is a predicted model, not a curated record.
UCCUUUUUUUUUUUUUCCUUUUUUUUUUUUUUUUUUUUUUCCUCCAAGAGCAAUUUAAGCAAUAGAUUCUGUAACCUGGCGUGUGUUGUGUUAGUAAUAUUCACUGGAAGCCCGGAUCACUGAGUAGGCUCUCGCCGGUCAUCUCGCUGAGGUUUUUGGCGUUUUGGAAUGGCUCAGGCUGACGUGUUUGGACGUUCCUGGGUUUGGAAGCGCUCCGCUCUAUCCCUACGGUUCCAGGAGACAGACCUGUCGGUGCUGUGGAAUGUAUUGCAUCCCUGGUGGCAGCUCUCUCCGAUGUUUUGUUGUGGUUUUUUUUGUGGGUUUUUUUUUGUUUUUUACACUAUUCACUUGUCAUCCUCCUUUAGACGUGAGAUUAUAUAUGUGAUUUCUUUGGUUUUACAAGCUCUAUUAUUUGAUUGCAUUUUUCUUCCUGAGGCUGUUGGAUAAAGCACCGGAUGGAGAGGAGAGGAGAGGUCUCUCUUUGGGCGCACGCGGAGUUUCGCGCUGAGGUUCGGUUGCUUGGGGCUGCUUCGGUGUGACCCCAGGAGCACCUGGAGCUGGCUUGAGAGCAGCAAGAGGUGACACAACGGUGGCUUGUCAUCUUCUGGGAGGGAGAGAGUGUUCUGGUGGGUCCCCAUCUGCGCAGGACUGGGCCGUCGUGACACAGGAGCGGUGGGGAAAGGGGGCUGCAGAAGAGCUCUUGGCACUAAAGUAUCACCCUGUGGUGGGACCGUGGCCUUGCCUUGGUCUUCCCCUACCCCAGGGCAAGAGGGGUUUUACUGCAGCUGUGCCUCUGUUCUCUCUGUUCUCCUUUCCAAGGAGCCCUCAAACUGUGAAACUAAACCAGGUGAGAAGCUUUCAGAAAGCCCGUGUUCAGCAUUAACGGAGCACAGUUAGGAUGAAGUGUUUUGUUUUAUUGGAUUUAGAGACGUGAUGCUCCUUUUAUAGCUUGUUUCAGCAAGGGCAGGGGGGGAAAUCCCAGGGACUUCAUUUUUUCAGCACCUUCACACUUACUUAGGGGCAGAUGUUUCCUUUCGCUGGCAUUUACUCGUUUCAGAGAAAGUGUUGCUGUUAAGCAGAGUAGUUGCUCUUGUUUUGGCCUCUAGUUCUGAUUUUUGCAGCUUGAGUUUUAGAGGUGAAAUACUUCUUUUUUUAAAAAAAAAAAAAAAAAAAAAACAACCAACAAACCAAAACAAACAAAAAACCACCUUUUUUUGCUGUUGAGGUAGUUUCUGGGUUUUUUUAAACUAUCGUUAGGAGUUUCUCAGGAAUAAACCAGCUGAAGCAAAGCAGACAAACCCAUGGGUAUAGGAGACAGCAGGCACCUCUUUUUGUGGGUGGUUCCAUGCUAGAGCUGGUCCUGGCAGGGGGGUGCUGCCUCGGUGGCCUCAUCUCACCUCUGUGGGCAGCUGUGAGUGCUUGUCCCCACACCACAUACUCUGGGGACCCCAGCGUGGUGACAAGACUGACUGACCCUCCAGUCCACGUGUCGGAUGAGCCGGGGCAGGGGGGGUGACCCGAUCAGGGUGACAUCUUUCUGGUUUCCGAGCUAGGAGUGAAAAUUUGGUUGUAAACACAGCAGAGCGUUUAUCUUGUAAGAGGCAGCCCGGGUGGGUGUUUGUGUUAAUUUAUUACAAAGCAUUAUACUUUCCUAUUGUGGAUACUAGUUCUGGUAGAGUUGUGGGCGAUGGGGCGAGGCGGUGAGGGGGGAGUUAUCCUUUGAGCUGGUCACCCCUGUGAAGGUGAUGAAGGGACUGCUCGGUCCAGAGGGCAAAUCUGUUUUCCCCGGGCAGCAUCCUGUGCUAGUGCUGUAAAUACCCGGUGUUCCUGUGGUAUCAGAAGUCAGCUCUGCUUUCUUGGGUGGCAAGGUUGUUUUUCCAAGGCGCUGCACUCCAGUUAAUUUAUAAUAAAAGCAAACAUUGCCCGA